This 440-nucleotide ribosomal RNA is filed under the name uncultured bacterium. RNAcentral describes it as "partial 16S ribosomal RNA". It matches the Rfam family "Bacterial small subunit ribosomal RNA", at positions 338 to 795 of the family's 1533-position model. The record is from RNAcentral.
CCUACGGGAGGCAGCAGUGGGGAAUAUUGCACAAUGGGGGGAACCCUGAUGCAGCGACGCCGCGUGAGUGAAGAAGUAUUUCGGUAUGUAAAGCUCUAUCAGCAGGGAAGAAAAUGACGGUACCUGACUAAGAAGCCCCGGCUAACUACGUGCCAGCAGCCGCGGUAAUACGGAGGGGGCAAGCGUUAUCCGGAUUUACUGGGUGUAAAGGGAGCGUAGACGGCAGCACAAGUCUGGAGUGAAAUGCCGGGGCUUAACCCCGGAACUGCUUUUGAAACUGUGCAGCUAGAGUGCAGGAGAGGUAAGUGGAAUUCCUAGUGUAGCGGUGAAAUGCGUAGAUAUUAGGAGGAACACCAGUGGCGAAGGCGGCUUACUGGACUGUAACUGACGUUGAGGCUCGAAAGCGUGGGGAGCAAACAGGAUUAGAUACCCCUGUAGUC